Molecule: long non-coding RNA, 2100 nt
Organism: Xenopus tropicalis (tropical clawed frog)
Lineage: Eukaryota; Metazoa; Chordata; Amphibia; Anura; Pipidae
Exons: 3
Source: RefSeq, a predicted model, not a curated record
UAAUUUAGUCCUUGCCCUUUUGGGUAUGUUGUAAGAGAUGGUACUUUACAUGCCCACCCGUGGCUGGCAUAUGGGCGUAUACUAUUUCGGUUAUAAUGGGGCAAAGACGUUUAUCAGUUUAAUAUCAGUUAAUAAAACUGUGGCCGACCUUUUCCUUGAAUCUAUUUAAUAUCACAUGAAUACCCCCACAGUCUGCAGGGAGUCGGGUACCUUUGCGGGUAGGAUUUCUGGUGCAGGUAUAGUAGAGUCCUGCAUCAGGUCAGGUACCCACAGGAUAGCCACAAAGCGGCCGGAAUCUACUUGAUGUUCCCACCAUGCGGGUAACCCACGGGUACCGGACCCACUGCAGCAGGGAGGCCAUUUAGGGGAUGACAAAUUAAAAUCUACUUGUCACGAUGUAAAGAUGACUGACGUUUGACGGCACUUCUGGUUUAUGUGAUGUCACUUCCGUUCAGCGCGACGCUUACUGUGGGAGUAGGUUGGAGUUUGCAUGGGGAUAAGUGGGUAAGCGGUGUGAGUCGGGCUUAGGGUAAGCGGGUACAGGUUGGGUGCAGGUCACUAAGGUAUAGAUACGGGUUGUUGGGUUGUGUUGUGGGUCUAAUCUAUAUAUCUUAUUUUAUAUUAUAUAUAUAAUCUAUAAUCAUGCAACAAAAAACAUUCUGCCCCCACCCACUUCAAGUCACUUCUGCUUCAUACAGCACCUCCUAAUUAAUGGCAGUCGCAGUGGGUCGUGGAUAAGGCAGUUGCAGGGUCUGGGUCAGGUUUCAAGGACUGGUUCCACAUAGGACUCUGCACAGUAGGAAGGCUACUGUUUGUUAUGCUGUAAAUGAACACAGAUAUGGAAAGCAGCCCCAAGGCAAAUGGAAUCUGCCAAAGACAUGAGUGUGUGUAGCGCAAGGUUGGUGUAGGACUUGCCAUGCUGAAUGCUGGUGGAGACAACACCGCAUUGGGCAUCUGGAGCAGAUGGUACAGGAAUUAUUGAUGAAUGAUAUGAGAUACAAGUUGACACUCUCCAUCCAUCAUCCCCUGGAACCAGUGCCAUAGGCCAGAAAUCCCCAACUAAAGAAGAGCAAAGUAUAGGUAAGUCCCAGCUUGCGCAUACACAUGCCUGCCACCACUGCAUAGUAAAUCAUUGAUACCCAAAUUGUACCCCAAAGUAUUAACAUUGUUCAGAAAUUGUUAGGAAAUCUUUCUAAAGCUAACGAAAUACAUUGCCUAAAAUAUUACCCUAUAACUAUAGCUCAGUCCAACUUUUUCAACAACAGACCAAAUAUCCAAUAAAAACCAGUGUUCAGGGACACCUUAGGCCUCAUUUGCAAAGCCAAACACGGCAUGCAUGCAAUUAGCUAUUUUUUGCACUUUGCAUGCUGUAUUUGCCUAUCCAGUGCCGGCCGGGAUGCCUGGGGCCCACCGGGUCUGUCAGCUCAAGGGGGGCCCUGCAGUGCUGCACUUACUUGCUUAGUGGGGCCCCCCUGCAGUCAGUAAGCUGCAGACUUGGGAAUUGUGGGGGAGGAGAUGGAGUGCCUGCAUCUUCUUUCCCCUACGCAGCUUUCAGGAUGCUCAUUUGUCACUAACGUACUAAGGGCAGUGACAUAUUAAUAAUUCUGUACUUCCUAAGCCCAGUCUCACAAUCUACUAACCCCAAUGAUAUGUUUUAUACAAGGACAUUGAACAAAAUCCCUGCCUCAAUCAAGAUCAGUAGCACUGGGAUCACUUAUGACUUAUUCCCUGCUUUUAUUUCUUUAUUAUUAGCAUCAUUUUUCACCCAUUUCUCCCACCCCUGCCCCUUGACUUUACCUUCUCUUUUCACUUACCCUUUUCCCUUGCACUACAGGUGUCCAUUGUCUCUAAUGCUCACUGACAAUACUAUGGGACAAUAAAAAGGCAAGAACACCAAUAGAAUAUGUAUUAAAAUAUUUAUUUAUAAAAUAGAUAUUAUUUUGAUAUAUUUUGGAUUAAUUCCUGUUAAUUUAGGUUGGAAAGGACUCAUGUUUUUAAGUUUAAGUCUAAAAGAAAGAUGCCUAUUUGCUAGUUGGUCCAGAGGAAGGCGAAAAACCACCAUCUGAAGCCAGAGCCAAUUUGCCUCAGAGGGGAAAAAAU